GAAAGAGUCCUUUCUGAAGAAGAGCAGUCUGGCUAUGAAGAUGCAGAUAAGAUUCUUUCAGAAUCUGCAGUAGGAGUCACACCUGACUACUAUAAUGAUACCACUACCACUAAGGACCCAACAGAAGAGCAACAAAUCACACUGGAGAAUUAUGAUGAUGUAAUUCCUGUUGGACUAAUUCAUUGUGAUACAGAUGGCAUUCAAAAAAGCUAUGAUGAUGUCAUCCUCAUACGACAGUUCUUCAAUAAUAAAGCAGAGGGAGAUCUGGAAGAAUAUGAUGAUGCAAAGCAUGUCAGUGAAGAUGUAAGAGAUUUG
This is a long non-coding RNA of Carassius carassius (crucian carp), 315 nucleotides long. RefSeq lists it as uncharacterized. The transcript has 5 exons. NCBI's taxonomy places the organism in Eukaryota, Metazoa, Chordata, Actinopteri, Cypriniformes, Cyprinidae. The record is from RefSeq and is a predicted model, not a curated record.